Molecule: long non-coding RNA, 512 nt
Filed under: Cyanistes caeruleus (blue tit)
Lineage: Eukaryota; Metazoa; Chordata; Aves; Passeriformes; Paridae
Description: lncRNA (ENSCCEG00000004572.1)
Source: RNAcentral
AAAGAAUGUACCUCAGUCGUUGAAUAUUUAAGUUCUUCAAAAUCUGUGGAAUAAUGAAGACAGUAUGUCCAUCCAAGCAAACAAUUGCUUCAUGGGGAGCCUGUGUGUCUCAAAUUAGUUAAUUCCUGGACUUUAAAUUGGCCCCUGUUCCUGUUAUUUAAAGCCAGCAAAGAGUAGCACUGGCAGGAAAGCUGUCUGCCAGAAAAGGGCAUUUUCAAAGUCACACAGCAUGAACAUCUUCUUGUCAAGACCCAUUACAAGAAAAAAGUAGUCUCUGCCCAGUGGGCUCUGUGUGGGAACCUGGUUGCCUCAGUUUGAGUGGUGAAUCCUUCAACAGCUGGCUAGAGUUUUGUGUGAUGAUUUGGCUAUACAAAAUCUAUGCAACUCUACAGAUUCAGACCAGAGAUACCUCUGGUGUUAUGUCAUACAGGAAAUUACAUUAAAGAUUUUGCUCAGCGUAAGCGAGUGCAAAUAAUGGAGAACAGAAACAGGUAUUGUUGUGUACUAUUUGU